GUCCUGUUCACGCCCACCUGGGCAUGACUAUCCAGGAAGUAGUAGCUUUCCAUGUGUUGAGGGUUGAUCUCUUGAGGUCUUCAAACUUCUUUCAAAGAAAAAAAAAAGGUCUUACUUUGGGAGUGCAUGCACAUGUCUCCUUACAUUACAGGUGGAGUUUGCCCAGUUGUCAUCACGUGACCAAAGACCUAAAUGUUCAUCACAGCACAGUGACAGAGUUAUGGACCAGGAGCCAAUGUUGGGCCGGCCGAAGACAAAGGGUGCCAUCCACACCCGGAACUCUGAGGAAGACCAUGAGAUGCCGUUGAAAUUGAAGAAUAAACUUCAGGAGAGAUCGUCUUAUCCAGGACGAGGAGUUGGAGGUGUGUGGAGGAGGAUUUCCAGAACAUCACAUCUUCCCUUGGUUGUGGAAUUAAAGUGGUGAAUAAUACAUGGCUGAAAGCAUCUGUCUCUCUGAGUUGCCUCUUCUGGACAGCAGGGGACCUGAAGGCAACUUUCACACUGCCAAGCCGGGGCUCCCAGAUCCUUUCCUGCAAAGAUGUUUUGACUGCAGAUAUGAGUCUCUGCUUGCCAGCACUGUUCCUAGGACACCGCCCAUGCAAGCUUUGCAGCCAAAGCACAAAUACUGGACGUCGUCCAUCUUCUCAGUGUCCCCGGUGAAGGCGGAGGGGCCCAAUGGCUACAGUGAGCCGGAGGACAACUGCGCCCCCGGCAGGGAGAUCCAGAGUGUGCAGGCCCUCCUGCCGACCGAGGGCAUGCUGCGUUCCGACUUUGUGCGCCGUCUCCGUAGCGGUGAUGUCAAUCUGGGCAUAUUUGGUGGAGCUCUUUCCUGUCAAGACGCAGAAACAGCUUGAAUUUCACCUGCAAACAAGGACUUUACCAGGACAACACUAUCCCUUCACAGAUCCCAUCCUCUGUGCAAGAGACCAACCAGCAGGUGUGACUGGUGCAGAGACAAAAGCCGUGCUCCCUCACUGGCUUCCCACCAGAAACGUCGCUAAUCAAAUCGCAUGACCAAGCCAAAGAUACUACCGCCAGGGUCUCUGCGGUGGUGGUUGCCAUCGAGCGUGCAUCGUCACGUAAACCUGAGCCACUGGACUUGGCCGCCUCCUGCACGUCCCCGUCCAUUAACCGCCCGCUCAGGCAGGAUGAUGGGAAAGAUGACAUGGGAGCCGAGUCGUGAGUGUGUGUAGGUACAUGAACAUGACGGAUGGGUUUGGUGCCACAUUGUGACAGCUGCUGGGACUUUCCUAGAGCAGGUGUGCAUUAGACUGAGGGCAUGUUUCUAGGUGUUGGAUGCUUAAGUGGCCAAACGUCCCCCGACAACUGUCCUCUCACCUCACCAUCAGGGGCAGGUAUCCUGUCGCGCGUCCCUGCACUCUCUGUCUGGUUAGACAUCUGUGUGUGGUUUUCUCUGGACACAAUUGGUUCUUACGUAACUCGAGAUUAUGGCGUUACAUAAAAUGCAGAUGGGUAAAUGAAUGUUCACGCUGCAGUGAGCCCUCCACGACACAAUGGAAAAGAGAGGUUGCUGAAACUCGUCUUUUAUUCUAAAUUAUGUUAAUGGUAACACAAAUUAUGUAUGUGACUCAUACCUGUAUGUGCUUUAUAGAUUCAUAUGUGAUUCAUCUA
Sebastes umbrosus (honeycomb rockfish) is the source of this 1632-nucleotide long non-coding RNA. RefSeq lists it as uncharacterized. The record is from RefSeq and is a predicted model, not a curated record. The transcript is spliced from 9 exons. Lineage: Eukaryota; Metazoa; Chordata; Actinopteri; Perciformes; Sebastidae.